This 11590-nucleotide long non-coding RNA is filed under the name Eucalyptus grandis. RNAcentral describes it as "long non-coding RNA (EGRA_LNC004204)". Lineage: Eukaryota; Viridiplantae; Streptophyta; Magnoliopsida; Myrtales; Myrtaceae. The record is from RNAcentral.
ACUGAUCAAUACAUAUGAUAGAAGGUACGUACAAGAUGCUGGAAAAACAUUUAUUCGCACCAAAAGAGCUCACUAGAAAACAAUGUGAUUGAAAAAUAUAAUUCCAAAAGACAUCAAAUGACACCACACAUAAAUGCGACCAAUCUUUACAAAGAAAGGGCGGACCCCAACAGCUUAAAGAUACACUGAGAUAACCUCAUAUGGUACUAAUAUCUUCAGGGGCUGGUGGCUGGAGGAGGAGCGAGGAAAGGAAUGGAAGGAAUUUUAGGGAGAGAGGUAGGGAUGCCUGGCACCGGGGGCAGGGCAGUUGGCACGGUUGGCAUGCUUGGAAGUGGCGGCAGAGCAGUGGUGGGCAAUGUUGGCUGGGUGGUGGGCAGCGUCGGCAAUGUGGGCUGAGGCAGGGUCGUAGGGAUGGCAGGUAAUGUGGGAAUGGACGGCAAUGGUGGCAGUGAAGUCGGUAUCGAUAUUUUGGGCAUCGUGGGAAGGGACGGAAUGGAUGGUAUAGUUGUCGGUAUUGGUAGUGUUGGUAUCAUGGGAAGGGACGGUAUGGAUGGCAUAGUUGUUUGUAGCAGAUGACGAGCUCCAAAACUUAUGUUGGCGGUUGAGAGAACUAGGGUGAUGAAGAGAACAAAGCUCUUUAAGGAAGUAGCCAUGUCAGCAACUGGAGUGUGGAUUUUUUGUUGUGAAAGGCUCAAGGACUUGAAAUUAAUGAGCUAAGAGCAAUGGAUUGCUACUUGUGUGAGUAAAUGGAGGAAGGAGAUGGGAGUUUAUAUAGCCAGAGGUAGUUCAAAUAGAAUUUUGGGUUGUGAUAAUAAGUUGGUGACUGGCUUUUGGGUAUGGUUGGGAAAAAGAAUAAAAAACAGAACAUCUCUUUUAUUGGUUCUUUGUUGGCUCACCUCCUCAGCUCAAAUAUCCUGACAGAUGACCAAUGCUUUCGUUGAAGUCAAUCUUCGCAUCUGUCUUUGUAGGAGGCAACUGAAUAACUUGCUAUUUUUCUUAGGUUGAUUGUCAACUUGCUUCUUGAUUUUAACAUAUAAUUCUAAGGUUGGUUUUUGUUGCAUUGACCGAUCUCCCCGAAAUUUGGGCCUCAUCAAUGAUUUAGUCUACUGUCAAUCUUCGCAUCUGUCUGUGGGAGGCAACUGAAUAACUUGCUAUUUUCUUAGGUUGAUUGUCAAUUUGCUUCUUGAUUUUAACAUAUAAUUCUAAGGUUGGUUUGUGCGGCAUUGACCGAUCUCCCCCAAAUUUGGGCUUCAUCAAUGAUCUAGUCUACUGUUAAUUGUUUGGGCUUUAGCCAUUAGUUAUAUAUAUAUAUACAAAUGAUAAAACCACUAAAAAUUCUAAAUUGGUAUACUCGUUCUAUAUUUACUCCAAAUUAACUUUUAUAUAAAAUUCUAAAAUAAUACAAUCAUGCCACAUUUAUCCCAAGCUAAUUUUAUGUUAUUUCUAGACCAUUACAUUUGCACCGCAUUUACUUUAACUUUUUUCUGUUACAAAAAAUUCUGAACAAAAACUCUUAAUUAUGUUAAAGCUAAUGAUUUGAGCUUGAGAUUAAGAAGUGAAGCGGAUAGGCAAAAAAAUGAGGCAUUUAUGAGCUAUUGGAGAGUUCUGAAAUUAAAGUAAUCAAUGAAUUCCAUUUCUAACCGAAUAAUUGGCUUAACCGAAUAAUUUUUGAAUAGAUUACUUUUAUGGACGUUGAAAUGACAAUAAAUGGGUUAAGAAGGCUGACAUUGAGAUUUUUUGUGAUAGAAAAAUAAAUUUGGGGUAAUUGUGGCACAAUUACCCCAAAUUAGGAUGUUAAUUGAGAUUUUUUGGGCUGACAUUGAAGAUGAUUCUGAAGGACGCGACAAAAGGUUUGUGAAUAUAGUAUUGGUAUUGUUGUUUCUUGUUUAUUAUCUACCUUUUUCUCUCCUUGUAUUUUAGAUUAAUAGAUUUAGAAAACAGCUUGAAAUACAAUUUAAAAAAUAUAUGUCAGCUUGAAUAUAUUAAUGGUGGAAAAAUCAUCCUAAUCAACUUAAAUUACUUAAGCCUAAGAAAAUAGUAUUACUAAUACGAUUUAAAUUACAAAAGGUAUCUAAAUUAUAUUGUUGAAAUAUCACAUGACUUGAUAACGGGUCUUAUAUACUUUUUAUAUACAUGUGAUGUUGGACAUACUUCACUCUCCAUUAUAAAUAGUUCAUCCCAUUUUGCAUUUCUUCCUCUGUUCGCUGGUGUUGGGAAUACUUCAAUUCUCAUGCUUUAUGAGUUUCGCCCUUUUGUGUCUCAUCUUAUUUUUCAGGUUAAACUUUUGACUCGAAUAAUUUUGGACAAAGAUGAUUCAAGCGCUAUGAAAUUCGACGCUUUGGUCAGAAAAUCUUUCUUUGCCCCAUAUCAUUACUCACCGAACUUUGAGUCUGUUGGAAUUGUUUAGCUGUUGUUUUCUGUCAUGUUUUCCUCUGUUUUCCUCUGUUUUUAUUUUAUUUUAUUAAAAAACAGCCAAGUUCAUUUAGUUAUGCAUUUAGUGUUUUUGCUAUUUUCUAGGAAGUUAAUAGCACAUUUGUGUGCAGUUAUGUGUUGCACGUACGUGAGCAGUUUCUGCUUUGUAUUUAGUGGUUGUACUUGACAGUUUUUUUCUUUAAGCACAAUACGUAUGAAGUGCUAUGCUAUGUUUUUUUUUUUUCUCUUUUCUCUCUCUCAAACAACAGAAAUUUUUCUGUUUUGAUUGUUGUUUUUAUGAGCUUUAAUAUUGGUAUCAGAGCAUUUGUGGGAUCUUAAAGGACUGUGAAGUGAGGGUAAGUGAGUGAAAUUUGCUUCCAAUCUGCAAAGAAAAAGCUGAUGGAGGCAGGAUCGAGUGGAUUCUCUGCAAUGGCUGCUCCAGUCUUUACUGGGGAAAAUUAUCAGGCUUGGGCAGUGAAGAUGACAGCCUUCUUGGAGGGUCAUGAUUUAUGGGAGGCUGUGGAGAAUGAUUAUGAGGUUGUUCCACUUCCAGACAAUCCGACCUUGAAUCAGAUAAAGUACCAUAAAGAGAGAAUCACAAGGAAGGCGAAGGCAAAGUCUUGCCUGUAUGCUGCUGUUUCACCUACUAUCUUCACAAGGAUCAUGAGAUGUGAUUCUGCAAAGGCAAUAUGGGAUUUCUUGAAGGAUGAAUACGAGGGAGAUGAGAAGAUAAGAGGCAUGAAUGUGCUGAAUCUCUUGAGGGAGUUUGAGAGACAGCAGAUGAAGGAUUCAGAGUCAGUGAAGGAGUACUCUGAUAGGCUGGUUGGGAUAGCUGAAAAAAUAAGAGUUUUAGGGACUGACUUGAAGGAUGAAAGGCUUGUUCAGAAGAUCCUGGUGUCUCUUCCAGAGAAGUUCGAAGCCACCAUAGCUUCUCUAGAAAAUACAAGAGACUUAGCUGAUAUAAAGCUUGCAGAAUUGUUAAAUGCUCUACAGGCACAGGAGCACAGAAUACUGAUGAGAAGAGAAGAGUUUGUAGAGGGUGCACUGCAAGCUAAAGUGAAGUCAAAUGAUGGAGGCAAAGGGAAGAAAUGGAUUCAGUCCAGAGAAAAUGCUGGUGACUCCAAGUUUGUAGCAAAAGAAGGAAAUUCUGGUGGGUCUAGCUAAUGGAAGAUGAACAAAAAGCCUUGUCAAUACUGUGGUGGAACUAAUCAUUAGUUUUUUUAGAUGUUGGAGAAAGCCUGAUGCUAGAUGCAAAAGAUGUCACAAGUUGGGUCACAUGGAAGCCAUCUGCAAAGAAAAAAAUUACCAGCAAGCAGGAAAAGCACAGGUAGCAUUGAAUGAAACUGAGGAAGAGCACUUGUUUGUAUCUUCUUUUUCUGAAUCUUCUGUUGGGAAUGAUACAUGGCUGGUGGAUAGUGGCUGUACCAAUCAUAUGACUGGCAAUUCGAAGUUGUUUAGGAGUCUAGAUAGGUCAGUUAGGUCCAGAGUCAGAAUUGGCAACGGACAGUAUAUCAAAGUGCAAGGGAAGGGUACAGUGGCUAUUGAAGGAAAUCAGAAGGUGAAGCUGAUGAGUGAUGUUCUUUUUGUGCUAAACAUUGACCAGAAUCUGUUAAGCGUUGGUCAAUUAGUUGAGAAGGGCUAUAAAGUGAAGUUCGAAGGGAAGGAAUGUCUUAUUAAUAAUGCAGAUAGCAAGGAAGUGCUAAGAAUCCCAAUGAGGGACAAGAGUUUCAUGUUCAAGCCACAAGAGAUGCAACAAAUGGCUUUAAAGUGCAAAGAAGAAAAUGUAGAGCUAUGGCAUAAAAGACUUGGGCAUGUUCACAGGAAGAGCAUGUCGUUUAUGCAGAGAAAUAGCUUGGCAGAUGACUUGCCAAGUUUGGAGGAGGAAUUUCCACAGUGCAGAACUUGUCUUCUUGGCAAGCAAGCCAGAUUUCCUUUCAAAGGAGGAGGUUGGAGAGCAUGUGAGAAGCUGCAAUUAGUCCACAUAGAUCUAUGUGGACCUAUGUCUAAGUCUUCUCUCAAUGGUAGCAGGUAUUUCAUUACCUUCACUGAUGAUAUGACUAGAAUGAGUUGGAUUUAUUUUUUGCAAGCCAAGUCUGAAGUUGCUGAUGUGUUUGUGAAGUUUAAAGCCUUAGUUGAGAAUCAGAGUGGGAAGAAAAUUAAAAUGCUCACGUUUGAUAAUGGUUCUGAGUAUACUGCUCACAAGUUUAAGUUGAAUUGUGAGCAAACAGGAAUUGUGCAGCAGUUCACUGCUCCCUAUUCACCUCAACAGAAUGGGGUCAGUGAGAGGAAAAACAGAAGCAUUAUGGAGAUGGCUAGAUGUAUGAUGCAGGAGAAGAAGUUACCUAAGAAGUUCUGGGUUGAAGCAGCUAAUACUGUAGUGUUCUUAUUGAACAUAUUGCCCACAAAGGCCUUAGAGAGGUCAACACCUUUUGAAGUAUGGUAUGGUGUUAAACCUUCUGUGAAAAAUUUGAAGGUUUUUGGGUGUUUGUGUUACACUCAUGUUCUUGAGGUUAAGAGGGACAAGCUGGAUAAGAAAGCAGAGCUUGGAAUCUUCAUUGGGUACAGUCUCCAAUCAAAAGCUUACAGAAUUUUUCACCUUAUGACAGGGAAGGUGACUGUAAGUAGAGAUGUUGUUUUUCUAGAGGAAGAUGAGUGGAAUUGGAUGGAAGGAAAGAGUGCAGAACAACAACAGUUCGAAAAACAACCUGCAACAAAUGUAGAGGUUGAUGAAGUUAUAGAUGGAUUGGAAGACAGUGUGGAUGAUUUACCAGUGAGAGACACAAGGUCACUUGCUGAAAUCUAUGAAAGAAGCAAUGUGGCAAUGCUUGAACCAUCUAACUUUGUGGAAGCUAAGGAGGAUCAAAGGUGGAUUGCAGCAAUGUAGGAGGAGAUUGCAAUUAUCCAGAAAAACCACACAUGGGAGCUUGUUGACAGACCGUCUGAUAAGAAUGUGAUUGGGGGUUAAGUGGGUGUUUAGAACAAAACUUAAUCCUGAUGGUUCUGUCAAUAAACACAAAGCUAGACUGGUGGUGAAAGGCUAUGCACAAAUAUGGGGAGUAGACUAUUCUGAAACAUUUUCUCCUGUUGCACGACUUGAUACAAUAAGGUUAUUGUUAGCUAUUGCAGCAGAGAAGGGGUGGCCUAUAUUUCAGUUAGAUGUCAAGUCUGCAUUUCUGAAUGGAGAGCUUGAGGAGGAGAUUUUUGCUGAACAACUUGAAGGCUUAAGUAUUAAAGGGUAAGAAGAGAGUGUAUACAGGUUGAAGAAAGCUCUAUACGAACUGAAGCAUGCUCCAAGAGCUUGGUAUGGGAAGAUAGAUCGAUAUUUGCAGGAUUUUGGCUUUGUAAAAAGCUUAAGUGAGUUCACUCUUUAUGUCAAGAAGGUGAAUCACAGUGUUGUAAUUCUGUCACUUUAUGUAGAUGAUCUAUUAGUGACGGGGAAUAAUAUGGAAUUGAUAGAGAAGGUGAAACGAGAUCUAUUUGCAGUUUUUGAGAUGUCAGACUUGGGAAAGAUGGCUUAUUUUUUUGGGUCUAGAAGUCAAACAGGCUUCAUAUGAGAUCUUCAUCUGUCAGAAAAAAUACAUGAAGGAAAUUUUAAAGAAGUUUCAGAUAGAAAAUUGUCAAAGUGUAAGCACUCCUAUGGCUGCUAAAGAGAAGCUGCAAAAGAAUGAUGGAAUAGAUGCAGUAGAUGCUUCUAUGUAUAGAAGUAUGAUUGGGUGUCUCAUGUAUCUUACAGCAACCAGACCAGAUAUGCUAUUUGCUGUGAGUGUUUUAUCCAGGUUUAUGAGUCGUCCUAGUCAGUUACAUUUGAUUGCAGCAAAAAGGGUCUUGAGAUAUCUCAAAUGAACAUUGUUCUUUGGUGUGAAGUUUAAGAAAUGUCAAAAGUUUAAUUUGCAAAGAUUUUUUGAUAGUGACCGGGCUGGUUCAGUCGAUGACAUAAAGAGUACGUGUGGAUAUUGUUUCAGUUUUGGUUCUGCUUGUUUCUCCUGGUGUUCCAAAAAGCAAGAGAUUGUAGCUCAGUCCACAGUAGAGGCUAAGUUUAUAGCAGCUACUGCAGCUGCAAAUCAAGCUUUGUGGCUGAAAAAGAUAAUGAAUGAUCUGUGGUUGAAUUCUAGUGAUUGCAUUGAAGUUAAUGUGGAUAAUCAGGCUGCUUUAGCAAUAUCUCAGAAUCCAGUUUUCCAUGGCAAAACGAAGCAUUUCAAAGUCAAAUUUUUCUUUCUGCGUGAGGUGCAACAAAGUGGCGAAGUUAAGUUGGUCUAUUGCAGAUCUGAAGAUCAGCUUGCAGAUAUGUUCACAAAACCACUUCAGGCUGGAAGAUUUGAGCUGUUAAGAGAGAAAAUAGGAAUCUGCAGCAGCAACUGAUCCAAUGAGGAGUUUGUUGGAAUUGUUCAGCUGCUGUUUUUUGUCAUGUUUUCCUCUAUUUUACUAUGUUUUUUUUUUCUAUUAAAAAAACAGCCAAGUUCAUUUAGUUAUGCAUUUAGUGUUUUUGCUAUUUUCUAGGAAGUUAAUAGCACGUUUGUGUGCAGUUAUUUGUUGCAUGUACGUGUGCAGUUUCUGCUUUGUAUUUAGUGGUUGUACUCGACAGUUUUUUUCUUUAAGCACAAGACGUAUGAAGUGCUAUGCUCUGUUUUUUUUAAUCUUUUCUCUCUCUCAAACAACAGAAAAUUUUCUGUUUUGAUUGUUUUUUUUUAUGAGCUUUAACAGAGUCGCCUAGUCAACAAAGCGACAACAACCCACAUAAUUUUCGUUGCAAAAGUUUAGCCCUUUAGCCACGAAAUAAAAUCUGUCGCUUUUGAGCGCCUACGCAUUUUGUCACGAAAUAUCCCGUGGUGAAAUGUAUACUUUUUGCUACAAAAUUACUCGAUUUCAUUUCCAAGGUCUAUUGCCAUGGGCCUUUAGCAAUGACAUAUUGGCCACUAAGAUUUUCGUGGCAAGAAGCCUUAGCCAUAAAAUUCCAGGCUUUUUAGCCAAGAAUUCCGCUGUAGUGAAAGGUCGAUUUUCUUGUAGCACCGAUUCACUAGCUACAAUUAGAAAAAGGUGGAUAAGGCCGUAUGAGAAGAACUCAUUUUUAUACUGAUGGUGUGUGUUAUAAUUACUAACAAACUUGGAAGAGGUCGAAAAGACAUGGAUGAAUAGAAGCCAACUCACCGAUCAGUACAUACAAGAUACUGGAAAAACAUUUAUUCGCACGGAAAGAGCUCACUACAAAACAAUGUGAUUGAAAAAAUAUAAUUCCGAAAGACAUCAAAUGACACACCACACAUAUCUGCUAAAAAAUCUUUACAAAGAAAGGGCGGACCCCAACAGCUUAAAGAUACACUGAGAUAAACUUAUAAGGUACUAAAAUCUUCAGGGGCUGGUGGCUGGAGGAGGAGUGAGGAAAGGAAUGGAAGGAAUCUUAGGGAGAGACGUAGGGAUGCCCGACACCGGGGGCAAGGCAGUUGGCACGGUUGGCACGCUUGGAAGUGGCAGGAGAGCAGUGGUGGGCAGUGUUGGCAAUGUGGGCUUAGGCAGGGUCGCAGGGAAGGUGGGCAACGUGGGAAUGGACAGCAAUGGUGGCAGCGAAGUCGGUAUUGAUGUUGUUGGUAUUGUGGGAAGGGACAGUAUGGAUGGUAUAGUUGUCGGUAUCGGUAGUGUUGGUAUUGUGGGAAGCGAUGGUAUGGAUGGCAUGGUUGUUUGCAGUAGGUGGCGAGUUCCAAAGCUCAUAUUGGCGGUUCAAAGAACUAGGGUGACAAAGAGAAUGAAGCUCUUUGAGGAAGCAGCCAUAUUGGUAACUACAGUGUGGAUAUUAUGUUGUGAAAGGCUCAAGGACUUGAAAUCAAUGACCAAAGAGGGAUGGAUUGCUAAUGUAGGCAAUGGAGGAAGAGGAUGGGAGUUCAUAUCACAAGAGAUGGAUGUGUGGAGUUUCGUAUUGUGACAAUAGGUUGGUGACUGGCCUUUGGGUAUGCUUAGGAAAAGAAAAACCGAACAUCUCUUUAUAGUUUCCUUGUUAGCUCCCCACCUCAGCUCAAUCUUCCACUUGCCAAAAGAAAAAACAAAGGUCAAAUCUGUUGUUUUUGUUCUGAGAGAUGGCCAUGCUGUCAUGAAGUCAAGCUUCACAAAUGUCUUUGUGGAGGGUAACUGAACAACUUGCUUCAUAACGUACCAAUAUCUAGGUUGGGUGUUAACUUGUUCCUGGAUUUUAACAUGUCAAUCUAGGUUUCUUUGUGUUGGCUUGACUGAUCUCUCCGACCUUUGGACUUCAACAAUUCCAUUACAAGUUGGUCUACCGUUAGAGCGAUGGUGGAUUUAGCCUUUAGGUACUAUUUUUUUUUCUCUUGAUUGCACAAAAGAUAAGAAGGAUGACUUUACUAGCCACAGACUUUGCACGAAAAAAUAGUUCCAGUCUUAUCUCCUUUGACUGUUAGAUGCUAGCAAAUAAGUUAUCUUCACAUGGUUAUAUCUAUUAUAUAUAAUUAAAGGUAGAGUUACGAGAGCAUUUGCUCUUAUACUUGCCAAGUGGCACUUCUCUUUAGGUUUAUGCUUGCCACAUGGCAUCACACUCGGCAUUGUAUUGCCACGUGCCCCAAUAAUCUUACCGAUUACUUACAUAUCGUUACACACUCUUGUAUGUUAUUUUCAAAAUGUAGAUAAAGUCGGCGUUUAAAUAUCUUUGGAUGUUAAAAAAAUAUAGAGUACAUUUAGCCAAAACACAUAAUUUAAACUUAGCCAAAAUAAUUGAAAUAAACUAAGAAAAGGAUAGCGAUGUGUGUUUUUUAUAUUAUAAAUGGAUAUUACGUUCUGCAUUAAUAGUCUUCCUCCUCCUCCUCCUCCUCCUUUGAUACAUUUUCACAUGGGUGAAUAGACAUUUCUUUUGCAUGGCUCUAACAUGUGUUUAUAGUGUUAUUUUUGCUGUUCUUUUUAAUUUACCUUUAGCUUUUGUAUUGAUUUUUUAACAUACUUUGUUAUUUUGGUUUUAUUUUUAUUAUUUGAAAAUUAUGCACACUUAAGAAAAAUUAGUAAAUGAUAAGAAUUCAAUUAGAAAAAUAGUAGUUGAAGGAGCUAGAUUUGGGAGAAAAGAAAUGGGUAGUGGGCUGACCAGCGAAUCAGGCAGAGUUGUUUAUGAUGCCCAGAUCAUUCCGGCGAAAAUCUGCGCCCUUUCGGCAUUCGAUCGGACCAUCUGUUGCGGAUGGAGGCUAUGCAUCUGUGCUUCAUAAUACACAAUUUUUAUGGCAAAAUUGUUCAAUCAGUUCUAAACAUAUUAUAUAGAUAUCAAUUGAGUCUUUAAUUUUUGCGUAAAGUUAUAAUAUAGCCCUCUUGGUAAUUUUUCGUUGAAAAUCAGUGACGUGACUAUGUGCCAUGCAAAAUAACCGGUGACGACGGGAACACCACAUUAGCAAUUUUCCUCGAAAAUUAACUGUGAUAAUUAAAUUAAAAUUUUGUGCAAAUAUUUUGAACUCAAUUGGCAUUUGCAAAAUAAAUUUGAUGCUUGUUGGGAAAUUUUCCUAUAAUUUUAUCGACUGGUCAAUUCUAUUUUUUGCAGGUGCUGAUGCUCUUUUGACUUUUUGGUUGAUUGUCGACGAGGCUGGACAGCUAUUUAUAUGAUAAUUAGACUUUAAUUUUUUUUUUCUUUUGGAUUGAUCAUCAAGGAUGUUAGACCACCUUUAGGUAGUGAUAUGAUCUUGGUUUUUCUGGUUUAUCAUAUAGGAGACUGGACUAUGUGCCUGCUCAAUGCAAAAUAGUCACCGUCGCUCGUUGCUUGGCGUCGCUGUCGCCCGGCCAGGGGCGAGGGCUGGACACGCCAUAUCUGGUUUGGGUGAGGUCAACGGUUGCCUGGGCGAGGGCGAGGGCUCCCCUUGCUAGAUCUGGCGAGGCCGGCCCUUGCCCAGGCUAGGGCGGCCUCGCCCGGUGUCGCCGUUGCCCGGCUGACGCCCAGCGAGGCUGCCCUGACUUGGGUGAGGGCUCCCCUCGCUUGGCCGUGGCCUCGCCUGUGGUGGGCGAGGCCAAUCGGCUAGCUGUGGCCGAUGGCCGGCCACCGAAAAAGGCCAACAAAGCCAAUAAAAAAAAAGAAAUGACGAGGAAAGAUAAGAAAAUACAAGAUAAUACAGAAAUAAUAAAUAAUAAAAAUUCAAAAAAUUCAAAAAAAAUAAAAUAUAUUAAAAUUUAUCACAUCAGCGUCGCAGUCUACGUGGCAUCGUCGGUGUCAUCAUCAGCAUUUCAGGCUUAAAAUUGGCCAGAUGGACUGAUCGGCAAGAAGUGAAAAUGUUUAGGACUCAAUCGGCAAAGUAAAAGGUUUAGGACUGAAUGACAAAAGUGCAAUAAGUUUAGGAGUUUUUGGAAAAUUUCCCUGAAUUCUUUGUGUUGCCUUGACUGAUCUCUCCUAACUUUGGAUCACUUACAUGAUGUUCUACUAUUAGAGUGAUGGGAUUUAGCCUUUAGGUACUUUCUUUACGAAAUUUAAUGCUUUAGUCUAGAAAAUCUUUCUUGUCCUCGUAUCCUUAGUCAUGAAAUUUUGUGUAGCCAAAGCUACAAUAGCCCACGUAUAUUUCGUUGCAAAAGGUUGGCCCUUUAGCCACGAAAUGAAAUUUGUUGCCAUUGAGUGUCUAUUUUACGCCUUUUGCCAUGAAAUAUCCCAUGGUGAAGAGUAUACAUUCUACUACAAAGUUACUCGAUUUCGUUUCCAAAGUCUAUUGCCACAGGCCUUUGGCCAUGACAUCUCUGCCAUGAAGAUUUUCGUGGUAAGAAGCCUUAGCCAUGAAAUUCCACGCUUCUUAGCCAAGAAUUCUGCCGCGGUGAAAGGAUGACAGAAGGUACAGACAGGAUACUGGAAAAACAUUUAUUCGCACCAAAGAGCUCACUAGAAAACAACGCGAAUGAUGAAUAUAAUUCCAAAAUAUAUCAAAUGACACAACACACAUGUAUGCGAGCAAUCUUUACAAGGAAAGGGCGGAGCCCAACAGCUUAAAGAUACACUGAGAUAACUAGACAUGGUACUAAAAUCUUCAGGGGCUGGUGGCUGGAGGAGGAGUGAGGAAAGGAAUGGAAGGAAUCUUAGGGAGAGACGUAGGGAUGCCCGGCACCGGGGGCAAGGCAGUUGGCACGGUUGGCAUGCUUGGAAGUGGCGGCAGAGCAGUGGUGGGCAAUGUUGGCUGGGUGGUGGGCAGCGUCGGCAAUGUGGGCUGAGGCAGGGUCGUAGGGAUGG